GAGAAUGCCGGUGUGAGUAGCGAAAGACGGGUGAGAAUCCCGUCCACCGAUUGACUAAGGUUUCCAGAGGAAGGCUCGUCCGCUCUGGGUUAGUCGGGUCCUAAGCUGAGGCCGACAGGCGUAGGCGAUGGAUAACAGGUUGAUAUUCCUGUACCACCUAUAAUCGUUUUAAUCGAUGGGGGGACGCAGUAGGAUAGGCGAAGCGUGCGAUUGGAUUGCACGUCUAAGCAGUAAGGCUGAGUAUUAGGCAAAUCCGGUACUCGUUAAGGCUGAGCUGUGAUGGGGAGAAGACAUUGUGUCUUCGAGUCGUUGAUUUCACACUGCCGAGAAAAGCCUCUAGAUAGAAAAUAGGUGCCCGUACCGCAAACCGACACAGGUAGUCAAGAUGAGAAUUCUAAGGUGAGCGAGCGAACUCUCGUUAAGGAACUCGGCAAAAUGACCCCGUAACUUCGGGAGAAGGGGUGCUCUUUAGGGUUAACGCCCAGAAGAGCCGCAGUGAAUAGGCCCAAGCGACUGUUUAUCAAAAACACAGGUCUCUGCUAAACCGUAAGGUGAUGUAUAGGGGCUGACGCCUGCCCGGUGCUGGAAGGUUAAGAGGAGUGGUUAGCUUCUGCGAAGCUACGAAUCGAAGCCCCAGUAAACGGCGGCCGUAACUAUAACGGUCCUAAGGUAGCGAAAUUCCUUGUCGGGUAAGUUCCGACCCGCACGAAAGGCGUAACGAUUUGGGCACUGUCUCAACGAGAGACUCGGUGAAAUCAUAGUACCUGUGAAGAUGCAGGUUACCCGCGACAGGACGGAAAGACCCCGUGGAGCUUUACUGUAGCCUGAUAUUGAAAUUCGGCACAGCUUGUACAGGAUAGGUAGGAGCCUUUGAAACGUGAGCGCUAGCUUACGUGGAGGCGCUGGUGGGAUACUACCCUAGCUGUGUUGGCUUUCUAACCCGCACCACUUAUCGUGGUGGGAGACAGUGUCAGGCGGGCAGUUUGACUGGGGCGGUCGCCUCCUAAAAGGUAACGGAGGCGCUCAAAGGUUCCCUCAGAAUGGUUGGAAAUCAUUCAUAGAGUGUAAAGGCAUAAGGGAGCUUGACUGCGAGACCUACAAGUCGAGCAGGGUCGAAAGACGGACUUAGUGAUCCGGUGGUUCCGCAUGGAAGGGCCAUCGCUCAACGGAUAAAAGCUACCCCGGGGAUAACAGGCUUAUCUCCCCCAAGAGUUCACAUCGACGGGGAGGUUUGGCACCUCGAUGUCGGCUCAUCGCAUCCUGGGGCUGUAGUCGGUCCCAAGGGUUGGGCUGUUCGCCCAUUAAAGCGGUACGCGAGCUGGGUUCAGAACGUCGUGAGACAGUUCGGUCCCUAUCCGUCGUGGGCGUAGGAAAUUUGAGAGGAGCUGUCCUUAGUACGAGAGGACCGGGAUGGACAUACCUCUGGUGUACCAGUUGUCGUGCCAACGGCAUAGCUGGGUAGCUAUGUGUGGACGGGAUAAGUGCUGAAAGCAUCUAAGCAUGAAGCCCCCCUCAAGAUGAGAUUUCCC
RNAcentral lists this ribosomal RNA (1529 nucleotides) under Staphylococcus aureus. RNAcentral describes it as "partial 23S ribosomal RNA". It matches the Rfam family "Bacterial large subunit ribosomal RNA", at positions 1290 to 2815 of the family's 2925-position model. Lineage: Bacteria; Bacillati; Bacillota; Bacilli; Caryophanales; Staphylococcaceae. The record is from RNAcentral.